AGAGCGAACGCUGGCGGCAGGCUUAACACAUGCAAGUCGAGCGGGCGUAGCAAUACGUCAGCGGCAGACGGGUGAGUAACGCGUGGGAACGUACCUUUUGGUUCGGAACAACACAGGGAAACUUGUGCUAAUACCGGAUAAGCCCUUACGGGGAAAGAUUUAUCGCCAAAAGAUCGGCCCGCGUCUGAUUAGCUAGUUGGUGAGGUAACGGCUCACCAAGGCGACGAUCAGUAGCUGGUCUGAGAGGAUGAUCAGCCACAUUGGGACUGAGACACGGCCCAAACUCCUACGGGAGGCAGCAGUGGGGAAUAUUGGACAAUGGGCGCAAGCCUGAUCCAGCCAUGCCGCGUGAGUGAUGAAGGCCCUAGGGUUGUAAAGCUCUUUUGUGCGGGAAGAUAAUGACGGUACCGCAAGAAUAAGCCCCGGCUAACUUCGUGCCAGCACGCCGC
RNAcentral lists this ribosomal RNA (449 nucleotides) under uncultured bacterium. RNAcentral's name for it is "SSU rRNA". It matches the Rfam family "Bacterial small subunit ribosomal RNA", at positions 26 to 518 of the family's 1533-position model. The record is from RNAcentral.